CAGGACUCACCUUCAGGCGUCUCUGAGGAGAAGGUCCAGGUGGUGCAACCUGAAAAUCCUUGCAAGCUGGAGUGUGCAAUCCCGGAUCGACAGGGGGCGGGGCGCAGAAUGAACACAUGACGGGAAAGUAAGCUAUGAGGGCCGGAGCUUCAGGAGGUGACUUACAGGACGGAAGCUGCAUGCUAAGGAUGUAGAAAAAGAGAUGAAAGGAAGGAGCCCAGAUCCUCGACGGCAUUGCGGAGCAGCCACACCAGC
Molecule: long non-coding RNA, 255 nt
Organism: Pteropus alecto (black flying fox)
Lineage: Eukaryota; Metazoa; Chordata; Mammalia; Chiroptera; Pteropodidae
Exons: 3
Source: RefSeq, a predicted model, not a curated record